UGCCUGUAGGUCACAAGCAAAAGGAUUCUGUCUUCCCUUCAGGUCCUCUUCCUAUCCUGCCUAUGCACUAAAGGAGUCAGAAUCUGGUCCUUCAUACCAAUGCAAGUGGCAGGGGCUAAAACACCUGAGGAAGAGUUUGAGGAUGUCUCGGCUAACUACAGUAUAGAACUGAAAGAGCCCACCCAUGCCACAAUUCAUGAGGUGGCUUCUUCUGAAGUAGAAGAUGAAAGAAGAGUUGUACAGAUUGUUUGAAUAAACCAUGUCUAAAAUAAAGAUGUAUACAGACAGCGUAAACAAUAUACCGACAGCGU
Molecule: long non-coding RNA, 311 nt
Organism: Alligator sinensis (Chinese alligator)
Lineage: Eukaryota; Metazoa; Chordata; Crocodylia; Alligatoridae
Exons: 3
Source: RefSeq, a predicted model, not a curated record